Thrips palmi is the source of this 1179-nucleotide long non-coding RNA. RefSeq lists it as uncharacterized. NCBI's taxonomy places the organism in Eukaryota, Metazoa, Arthropoda, Insecta, Thysanoptera, Thripidae. The record is from RefSeq and is a predicted model, not a curated record. The transcript is spliced from 4 exons.
UUAGUCACUGAGUUCUGCCGUGACGCUGCCCUGCAGUCUCCGCUUCCUUGCGCCGCGCACUCCCAUUGCCCGCGUCCCGUGCCCGCCAAGCCAGCGGCACCGCGAGUAGCAGCGCCAGCCGCGUAGCCGCGCCGCAGUCAACCCAGUCAGGACAGCGCCGACCUCGCCCACACCCUCGCCAUGGCCAAGGGGAAAGGUGGCAAAGGAGGAGACGAGAAGAAGGCGGCGGGCGGCGCCAAGGGCGGCGAGAAGGGCGGCAAGGGCGACGGCGGCAAGGCCGCUGGGAAGAAGGGAGGCAAGAAGUAAGGGGCCUGCCCAGCCUGUCCCGGCUGCCCCGGCCGUGGCGCGCGCCGCCCUAACACCAGCCUGGCCGUGGCCGUGACCACAGCCACCCUCGCGCGGGCGCGCUGGCACGGCGCCGUGGACGCGCCGCGCUUUGGCCGCAGGAGCACAACACCGCGCAAGCCGCGCAAGCGCGAGGGGCAAGGCGAGGGGCCGGGCGGGGCUGGGUGCGCGCGCCGUGCGCCUCGCCGGGGCGGCCGGGCCGGGCGGACGCGGCCAGUGGUCAACACGCCUUCGUCUUCGUCUUCCUAUACUCCCGCGCCUCGGCGUCUCCCGAGAUCAUCGUCAUCAUCGUCAUCGUCUUCAUCGACCCCAUAUUCUCGCCGCAUUUCCUCACAUAUUGCGUUCCAGUAGAACAAAUGUAAAAGUAAAAAUGUAAACACUGCGUAGCAGGCCUGAGGGGAGAUGAUUUGUUGAUAUUCUUUUUCUGUCACCCACUAUUUGUUGAGCUUUGUGGUUUGAUUUAGUCUCAUUCUGAAUAGAGGGUUUCGUCGCGGUUACGGUUCCAGUUCAGAGGACCAAUAUUAAUCAAGAUUAACGGCUGUCGUUUCCAGCAUUGAAAUUUCUCCCCUUGUUGUCAUUCUUUAUUUCUUUUGUUCACUUCUUUUCAUUGGUCAGCCUGUGAUCCAUCCUAUCGUUAGAGGAUAAGUAUGUUUUUGUAGAAAUGUCAGAAAUUAGACUGGCAGGAGAGAAUUGCAGUAACGAAAUAAUUUGUUGUUUAUUUGUUCACAUUCUUUGUAAUACUUAUUUUGUAUAUGUUGUACACUGAACUAUGACGUUCGAUAUUCUCUGCUAAAUGAUUCUUUUGCGUUCCAUUAAAAUUCCUAAAAAUGUUUA